Molecule: long non-coding RNA, 1571 nt
Organism: Physcomitrium patens
Lineage: Eukaryota; Viridiplantae; Streptophyta; Bryopsida; Funariales; Funariaceae
Source: RefSeq, a predicted model, not a curated record
CUGGUCUGCCCCGGAGCCGUCUCUCUGAUUUUGCGGGGUUUUUUUUUCUCCCUCUCUUCAUAGUUCAUGAGUUCCGCCGCUCCGAAUUUUUUUUUGGUUCUCCUUCGCAUUGUGGGAGUGCUGCGGUGCAGCAUUUCCCUGCUCUCCUGUUUUUUUAGUUUGGUGUUUAAGGCGUUGCGGACGCCUUGACUGUGAAGUGUGGUUCUUGCGCUUCGUGAAUUCCGGUGUUGGGGUGUCGCGUUCAGAGGCUCAAUGAGUCGGGCUGUUGUAGCGGCGCUGGGGUUUGAAGGCUCCGCAAGGAUGGUUGGGCUGCAGCAUUGCGGCGGCCCCUCGGGGUUCUCUUGGAGUUAAUUCUUGUGCGAGGGUCGGAGGGCGUGCAACUACAGCCUAGAUCGAGAGGUCGAGAUACAGGGGAUUCACGCCUCUUGUCACGGAUAGGAUUGCAGCGGCGCCGCAUGAAGAACGUCAUCGUCGGUCUCUGUUUUGCGGCCAUAUGCAAUAAGUCACAUUCUGUUAUUGAUUUAUUUAUUUAUUUAUUUUUUGUGGUUGACUUCGAUCAAGGUCGCAGCAUCAGGCCAGCCGUCGUGUAGCUGUUGGAAGCGGAAUAGAAGAGGAAUUGAGGUCGAGGUCGCUUGUGGCUCCAGCUUUCGGUAGUGAUUGAGAUCGGUGCCUGCAUUACAAAGGUGGAGGUCUUAGAAGAACAUUUGUUGUGCGGCAUUGAUUCGGUGGGUUCAGCGGAGGCUGCAAAUUUACGACGAGGGCGAUUGGUCUUGGUCUAGCCUUGUUCUUUUGUUUUUUUUUUUUAAGGAAAUUCAUUGGUCAAGUUCCGAGCUCCGAGCGCUCCGGAGCUCGUGCCUGGUUUUUUUCAAUUGUUGGAGGCUGCGGUGCAACACUUCCUGGUGGUUUUCUCCCCUUUUUUUUUCGUGUACUGUGGAGAGCUCCGCAAGGAGCGGAGUCUGUGGGUUGGCCUUCUACUAGAUGUAAGCGGUUUCGGCAAGGGUCCGAGGCGGUCUUCUACAUCGAGGUGGCCUUAAUUUUUCCCUAGCUGUUUUUGUCGGAUUGCUGCGGUGCAGCAUCGGGUUCUUCUUACUUUUGUGUGCUGGUCAAAGAUCUCCGACAUUCUCAGUUGUGCCUCCUCGCUGGUGAAUUGUCGUAGCUAGUGUGUAAUACUGUUCCAUUGCAACGGCGGAGGUGGCGUUGGUUGGCUGCGGUGUUGCCUUCGUAGACUAGUAUUGUGGAUGUAAACAACGGAAGGCUCCGCUCAGCAUGAAAGUGAGGAGGAAACACUGGAGGUGAAUCUGGAGAGUUGAACAGCACAAGGACAUCCAAGUGCGAGCCAACGCGACUAGAUCAGUGCGGCCUUAGAGCUAGUCGCAAGAAGCAUUGACUUGGAGCUCCGACCUGUUGCGACAGUAGCUCAAGGAAGUUGGAGUCCGGUGUGGGAGCAACGACAACCUGUGCUCAUCCACGAAGCAUAUUUGUGAAACCUCGAGUGGAAAGUUAAAUUAGAUUUAGAUUCAAUUGUAUUAAGAUGAAAAAUUAUAGAUGAAUAUUGAUUAAAAUUGGAUGAA